RNAcentral lists this ribosomal RNA (1716 nucleotides) under Teratorhabditis synpapillata. RNAcentral's name for it is "SSU rRNA". It matches the Rfam family "Eukaryotic small subunit ribosomal RNA". Lineage: Eukaryota; Metazoa; Nematoda; Chromadorea; Rhabditida; Rhabditidae. The record is from RNAcentral.
GCCGCUACCUGAUUGAUUCUGUCAGUGGCGAUAUGCUUAUGUUAAAGAUUAAGCCAUGCAUGUAUUAGAACGGUCUCACGACCUAUCUGCGAACGGCUCAUUACAACAGUUAAAAUCCGCAUGACGAUUGUUUUCUGGAUACUUUCAGUAAUUCUGGAGCUAAUACGUACUCGUGCUUCGGCACCACUUAUUAGAUCGACCAACCGCUUCGGCGUUUUGUGUUGACUCUGAAUAUUUUGCAGACCGCAUGCGUAAGCGGCGGCGUGUCAUGCGAUUAACUGCCCUAUCAACUUUUGAUGGUAGUUUAGUUGACUACCAUGGUGAUAACGGGUAACGGAGGAUCAGGGUUUGACUCCGGAGAGUAUGCCUGAGAGACGGCAAACACAUCUAAGGAAGGCAGCAGGCGCGCAAAUUACCCACUCUCAAUUCGAGGAGGUAGUGACAACAACUAACGAGACUGCUCCCUAUGGGAACAGUCAUCGAAAUGGGUACAAUUUAAACCCUUUAACGAGGAUCUAUGAGAGGGCAAGUCUGGUGCCAGCAGCCGCGGUAAUUCCAGCUCUCAAAGUGUAUGUCAUUAUUGCUGCGGUUAAAAAGCUCGUAGUUGGAUCUGAGCUCGUGAAUCCAGUCCACCUCUGUGUGGUACUGGCAUUCUGAGUUAAAUUCGUCGGCUUGCCGGCGAGAGUUACUCUGAAUAAAUCGGAGUGCUCAAAACAAGCGUUUCGCUUGAACGUUUUUGCAUGGAAUAAUGGAAAAGGAAUUCGAUUCCUUACUGUUGGUUUCGGAAUUGAAUUAAUGAUUAAGAGGGACCAACGGGGGCAUGCGUAUCGCUGCGCGAGAGGUGAAAUUCAUGGACCGCAGCGAGACGGCCUACAGCGAAAGCAUUUGCCAAGAAUGUCUUCAUUAAUCAAGAACGAAAGUCAGAGGUUCGAAGGCGAUUAGAUACCGCCGUAGUUCUGACCGUAAACGAUACCAUCUAGCGAUCCGGCGGCGGUAUUUUUGCCUCGCCGGGGAGCUUUCCGGAAACGAAAGACUUCCGGUUCCGGGGGUAGUAUGGUUGCAAAGCUGAAACUUAAAGGAAUUGACGGAAUCGCACCACCAGGAGUGGAGCCUGCGGCUUAAUUUGACUCAACACGGGAAAACUCACCCGGCCCGGACACCGUAAGGAUUGUCAGACUGAAAGCUCUUACUUGAUUCGGUGGUUGGUGGUGCAUGGCCGUUCUUAGUUGGUGGAGCGAUUUGUCUGGUUUAUUCCGAUAACGAGCGAGACGCACGCCUACUCAAUACGACCCGAGUAAUUUCGCUCGGUGUCGUUCUUAGAGGAAUGGGCGGUAUAGAACCGCAUGAAAGUGCGCAAUAACAGGUCUGUGAUGCCCUUAGAUGUCCGGGGCUGCACGCGUGCUACACUGGGGUCUGCAACGUGCUCCAUGGCCGAAAGGUCAUUGGUAAACCGUUGAAAGGACUCCGUGAUCGGGAUCGGGAAUUGCAACUAUUUCCCUUGAACGAGGAAUUCCUAGUAAGUGUGAGUCAUCAUCUCGCUUUUAAUACGUCCCUGCGAUUUGUACACACCGCCCGUCGCUACCCGGGACUGAACCGUUUCGAGAAAUCCAGGGAAUCGCCCGCCGGGUUCGCCUGUGCGAGUGGUGAACUGGCGUGAUCGCGACGGUUUGAACCGGGUAAAAGUCGUAACAAGGUACCGGUAGGUGAACCUGCAGC